RNAcentral lists this long non-coding RNA (7501 nucleotides) under Spirodela polyrhiza (greater duckweed). RNAcentral's name for it is "long non-coding RNA (SPOL_LNC000481)". The record is from RNAcentral. Lineage: Eukaryota; Viridiplantae; Streptophyta; Magnoliopsida; Alismatales; Araceae.
CCCACCCUCAGCAGGUGCUCUCCGCAUUUCUCUCCGCCGGCGAUCGCCGGCGAAGAGAUCUUUCGGUGGCCCUCCGGCGGGCCCCGGAGGCUGAAGAACGGGGGAUUCCUUCUUCCAAAUGUGGCCGGAGAUCGGUGGAGGAGAGGGAAUUUGAGGUAGUUUCCCCCUAGAGGAGCAGAGGUGCUUCUGCUGGUGGUUGUCCCCCUUCCAACGGCGAAGCUCACCUGUCCUCCACCGCCGCCGCUGGUGUGUGGAGCCGGGGAGGGACAGGACGGGCCGUCGGUUACUGCCCCUGUCAGGUGGGAUAUUGUUAACAUGAAAUACGGCCUUCUUAAAGUCAUCGCUUUACAUUGAAUUGGCCACUGUCCGCCAGAUUGGAUGUGAGUAAGCCAAUCUUCCUCUCUUUGAAAGAAGAGAUGCUUCCAUUUCUGCUUGUGUUUCUGUCAAUUUUUUUCUUCUCCAUAUUUUCCUAUCAUUUGGAUUAAUAAUUUUUUGUGAGGAACUGCUUAACUACUGAUGACGCUGAUUUCCUGACUUGAAUGCGGAACUUAGGAAUCCAGUGUGUGUUGUCUUGUUGUCAACAGGAAGUUUCAAUCCUCCUACUUAUAUGCACUUGCGAAUGUUUAGUACGUUCAAAUGUAUUAUUUAUAUUUUUUGUCUAUUACAAAAUUGCCUGAUUAUGAGGAACACAUUGACGGGGUGAGAUAGAUAUGUACCGCUUAAGUUGGACAACAUGAGAUACAUUCUCAAGAAAACUUCACGUGCGGUGCAUUGUUGCGUGUCGUGCUGUAUGAUGUCCUUUUCAGUGGUUGGAUAGUUAGAGCCGAAAAGAGGUUUACGAUUCUCCAGCUAGUUGAGAUUCCUGGGGGAGGUGGAGGUGGGUCCAUUGCAUUCUUGAAAGAGCGAACAAGGUCUAGAAGUCUUGUUGUACCAUUCGGGAAGACUGCUUGAAAUUAAAGCUUCUCCAGAGAUGUCUGAAGGAAAGUUUCCUGCAUCAUGUCCAUUUGAAUAAUUCCACUCAUGUUUCUGCAGUUGUGAUAGUGAUCUGCAUGUUCCCAUCAGUUAAUGUAUUGUAAAGUGUAGUUAUGUCUGGGCGCUUAGUAAGUUUCUUCUAAUCAUUGAUAAGUCGCUGUUGUAAAUUUGUGAUACAACUGGAUUUUAUACUUGUUGGAGUUUCUUUAAUGAAAAAAUAACUGACAUUGAUUCAAAUUAUUAGCGUGGAUGCUCUGCAGUUUUUUUCACCAUGUUGUAGAUCGAACUAGAUUCGGUGCUGGAAAGGCCAGCCUUGUGCUCGUGGAGAAAACUCCAAGUUCAAACAGAAAGGACCUUUUCUCUCCUUCAAAGAAUUGUUUACGAUGUGGUGGGGGUUGGUUUGAUAUUUAUACCAGACCAUGGAAGGUUCCAGACACACAGGAAUAGGAGGCUGUGUCAACAUGACACAUGAGAAAGUGUAAGAAGAAAAAAAGGGUCUUCAGAAUGUGUUCACAGAGUCAUAAUUGUAUAGACACGUUCCUCAACAUAUAUCCGUGAUUUUCAGAACAUAACCAGCUAUCCUUGGGAUUAUGUCCAGUCAGCACACCCAUAUAUUGGUCACUCAAUUUAAAAAAGGUGAUGUUCAAUAUCAUGGCUGAGAAGAUAGAAAUGUUCUGACAAACAUAGCCAUUAUUACUAGAGAAUAGUAAUAAGUAAUAGCACAUAAUAGGGACCUUCACAACUUGAAGGUGCUUGCUGUGUUGCUUAUAACAGUGACCUUUCUUUAUUGAUUUUUAUGCCUGUUUAUCAUCUCAUUGCAGGAAACACUAGUCUAUUAAACAGCGUUUCAAAUUGAGACCUCAUCUUAAAAUUCAUGGCAGCUCCGUAUAUAAUAGUUAUAUAUAUUUAACUUUGCCAACUAAUUAAUGGCAACUUGUUUUCAUGUGCUUAUUGCAGAUGAUCAAAUCUAUUAGAAAACUUCCAUAGACGCAUUCGAUAUUUAUCGGUUCAUUCAUCUUUCCUUCAAGACUGGAAAUAAAUAGUUGUCAUUUUCAAGACUGAAAAUAUUCUUGAUAAUAUUUUGACGACAACUUUAUGACUGAAGGCAGAAAAGAACUAGGUACAUUCCUAAGAAAAAGUACAUGUCAAAGAAAAAGUGAGACCUUUCAUUUAAUUUAAUUCGUUCCAAUGCUGUAUUGGUCAGUUGCUGGUAUCUUGUGUCUUCUUGGCAUUCACUUCUCCCAUGUUAGUUUAUGUGUAAAUUAUAGAUAUCGAUUUUAUUUCUUACUUAUACAAUUUUAACAAAAGUUCCAAGUGAUUGUCCCUUUAAAGGUAAAACGAUUGUUGCUUCUGGACUGUUCAAAUAAAAUGGCAGUGAUCGUUUAGAUACGAAUAUAAGUGAAACAAACAAAGAUAUACUGAUCAGUUAUUUGUAUUUUUGUGCAGUGCAUGGUUAAGAUAACUUUUUGACAGAAUAGGGCCUUUUAAAAUUUAAUCAAAUAAACUAGCUUCCACAAAAGGCACUUUUUUGUGUAGUUAAAAGGGUACGAAGCCUACAAGCAUAGACCAAAUGCUCCUACUGCUCAAUUUAUGUUUCUAAGCUAAAAGGCAGUCACCUUUUCAUAAACUGUUAUAAUUAUAACAUAUUAAAGGGAAUGAAAUUCAUUAUUGUUUGGCCAUUGGCAGGCUCCACUGAUAAAGACUUGUGCUAAGUUUAGUUCUUUUUUUUCUUGUUUUCACUAGAAUUGGCAAGGGAUGCUCUAAAUUCAAAUGGGUGUUUUGCUGUUGGAGCCUACAUGUCUCCUGUGAAUGACUCAUACAAAAGGAAGGUACUCAUUCAUGUAAUAUUUAAUGAAUAUGCAUACAUGAAACAUUCAAAAAGCCUUAUACAUGGAUUUGGCUGAUAAAUAUAUUUUCUAUCCAUGUUUUCCAUGCUUAAGACGUGCAACAUCCAUUAUCCCAUGGGCAGUAAAGAUCCGUUCAACAUCCAUGUGCACAUGGCAUCAUAUUGCGAUUGCCUCGUUGUAGUUAAUGCCUUUAAGCUUUCUUGUAGCUAGAUAGAUCAUGAACUUCUGGUGUCCUAUUACUGCCUUAUAAUUACACUGUCAAAGAAUAAGGCUGGCCAAGUCAAAAUAGACUACUAUGAGCACAAGGACUGAAGUCCCCAAUUAUCUGUCAGGCCCAUAUCAACUAACGUCUACACUUAAUUCAAAUCUCUAAAACUAUCUUAUAUUCAUAAUUUUUUCAUGUUCACCACUUGAUUGGCCUAUAUAAUUUACUGCAUGAUUUUGUUUGUCCUAGUCGAAAGGAUAAAAGAAAAUUAUCACAUCAUGUAGGUUUUUGAUGUAAACUGGGAAAGAGAGAAAAUUGUAUUACAUCUGUAGUUUUUAUUUUUUGUAUUCGAAAGAGUUUUGGGUCAUAAUCUUUGAUAUUUCGAUUUUUUUUGGUAACUCUUAUUCCUUCUCAUUAGAGUUUUGCAAGUUCAUUUUCAUUUCUUAGGUGGUAUUCCCUCUCAGACCUUUUCUUUUUUCUGAACCUCCACAAUAUGUGUGCAUAUGGCCAUAAAGCCUUUGUUUUCAAGCCUAACUUUAUUUUAAAUCAAAUUAUCAAAAUUGGAAAUUUUGGAGUAUCUUCAUGUUGAUAACAUGAGGUAAGACUGUGUUUUGAGAGGUGUUGAAGUUCAGCUCUCAAAAUGUAUCAUUGUGUUGAAAACGAAAAUACCUUUGGAAGGACCUGUUGGGGCCUAGAAGAGAGAAAUCAUCUUCUUGGGGCCAUUGAGUUUUCCGUUGUUAAUUUGAGUUUAUGGUACACUUAUACGGAGAGCCUCCUGUAAGAGGAUAUAUGAUAGAACGCCCCUGUAGUUAUUUUUUUCUACACUUCCGACAGUUAGGAACUUGGAGCUGAGCCACAAUUGAAAAGCAGUAGUAGGAGCGAUGACGGGCUGAGUGGAUAAUUUUUUAAACUUGAAGUUCAAAUUUUGUCACGAAAGCAUGAAAAAGAACUUGGCGUGCCAUUUUAGUCAUGAAAGCAUAUAACAGCUGGGAGAUGCAGUAUUUUAACCAUUUUGUAAAACAAUGUGAUUAAACCACAGAUGGCAGAGGCAGUUUCGAUUGUAAGAACACUGAAAAAGAUGAUCCAUUAUUGUUCUUCUAUGAAUGGAGAAAGGCCUACUCAAAUAAUCCAAUCAAAUCGCCAAAAAAGCUGCUCAAUUAGCCAAAGGAAAUUACCAAGAAACUGUGAUGAUAUCAUAAAGCUUACCUACUCAAUCUAGUCAAAUGAAUGAGCUUGAUUAAGACUAUAUAUUAGAUCUUUUUAAGACCGUCUACUACUGGCGAAGCAUUAUGGCAUUGUGUCAAGUGCCUCAUUAGAGGAUUUGGGCCACAUGCCAUAAUAAACAAUGAGUACUAUUUGCCAACCCAGUGAAGUUUCCCUUGACAUAAAAGGACAUGAUACAAACAUGAAAAGGGGAUAUAGGCACCAAUAAAGAACAAGGCGUCAAAAAAGGAUAUAUUCAUUAAUAAAUAGAAAAUGGCAGUUCCAGAGAUGUCUUAAUAGAAGAGAUGAAGAUUUGAACACAGGAAGUAAAGCCAACUAAAAACUUCUAAUUAGAAUCGGAAUAAAAACAUCAUUAUUAUGCACUUUGGGAUCUGGCAAUGUAUAUGGCUUCUUCUCCACCUCUGCCUCGCAAGGGGAACCUGCAUCACUACCCCCCUAUAGAGUGUCUGGAGGAAAUUCUCCUUGUCCUCUCCAUGGUAGGCAUCCUUGUCUUGGAUGGUGGAGAUGGUGAUAGCUUCUAAAAUAUAUAGAGACGAUGAAGCUCAUAAAAUAACCACAAGAGAUGACUCACAAUUGAUUUCACUAAAAGAUACUCAAAUAGACCCUUGUCUCCUAGGAGACUAGACUAGUCAACACUAUUGAGAGACAUAUAGAGAGAGAGCGAGUAUCAAAAAAGAUAGAAGAGAGAGAGAACGAGAUGAGGGUCUUGACAAGGGCAUUCUCUCUCUCUCUCUCUCUCUAUCUAUCUCUCUCUCUCUCUCUCUCUCUCUCUCUCUCUCUCUCUCUCUCCUCUCUAUGAUCUUCAAGUACCUCACAUGAACAAUAGUUAAAUAAUUAAGCAAUUUAGGAAAUACUAAUAGCAUUAUCUGAAUAGAAGAAGAAAGUGUGUUACAUGAUCAAGUACGGGAUUUCAAGGGUUUGACUUGGCUCUCAACAUGUACUCCUAAUGAAGCUCAAGCAAAUGUCAUCAUAAAGAUUAUGGGCAAAAAGAGAUUUUGCAUGAAAAUUCCUUCAUGGAUAUUUGCUCUUAUUGUGAAUUAGAAUUGUUAUGUAGAACAAGUCCUCCAUAUCAGGAUUUCUUUUUAUUUUUCUUUUUCUAUUCUAUUUUUAGAUGUAUUUCUCUUUUUCGUGUUUCUAUUAUUAACCUUUUUGUAAAUACUAGAAAGGUUGUUAGAUGUCAAUAUAAAUACUGGCGUACUACUAUGAGAAGGGUUAGGUUAGUUUUUCUUUUUCUUGCUUCUAUUAUAUCUUGCAACAUGGUAUCAUAGCUUUCUCUCUGAUCUUGUAAGAAGACUGCCGACGGAAGAUCAACCAACCUAUGUGAAGGUAAUAUCACCAGGUGAUUUUCUUUCUGUCUGUAGUACAUGAAAUGUGAGGUUUCUUGGUCGUAAGCAGACUGGCGGAUUCCUUGGAGAGUCAUAUGCCAUCAUCAUUUCUUGAAGGUGGCAAGACAACUACGAAUACAACAUUGUCAUUUUCUGACAGUGGCAGACGUCUACAAGUACACCAUUGUCAUUUCUUGAUGGUGGCAGUCAUUCUUAGUUUCUUGAAAAUAAAUUGUUAUUCAUACCACAUCAGGAAAUCUCUAUCUGACUUUUUUUUCCUUUGGCUAUUAAAGAACAUGGAGUCAAAGGCCAAUGAAUCUUCCUCCUUUGGCCUAAGACAAUCAUUUGAAAUAAUUAAGGUAUGUUCAGACCUACCUAAAAUUGUUGAGAGAUUCCAAUUUGAUGGAAUCAAUUUGUUGCAAUGGACAUCGUAUGUGGUACUUAUUCUACGUGGGAGAAAUCUGGAUCAUCACUUGACGCAAUCCUUGCCAAGUAUUGACAACCCAGGAUAUUCUUAGUGGAAAGAAGAAGAAACACUUAUUGAAUAUUGGAUGCUGGACAAUAUUUCAUCAAAGAUAAGUGAUAGAUUUCUUUUUUUGAAAUCUAUGAAGGAAUUAUGGGACAAACUUCGUCGUGUUCACUCUACUAAACAUGACGAAUCCCAAAUUUAUAGAUUGGUACAGAAAUCUCUAACUUUGGUAUAGGGAACAUUGAUUGUUCUAGAAUAUGCUUGCGAAUUAAAAUCCAUAUGGAGAGAAAUUGACCACUAUAGACCAAUCAAGAACCCUAAUGCUGAAGAAAGAAAUUACAUCAUGAAAGACAUGUUGUAUAAGUUUUUGAUAGAACUAAAUCUAGAGUAUGAGACUCUAGUAAAUCAAAUCUUUGCUUGAGAAGUAAUACAAGAUAUUGAAGAAGCAAUUGAAUUUGCCAAAUAAGAAGCAAAUACUAGAAGAUUGAGAAAUGAUUUAAAGUCAAAAAAUGUUGCGUUCAGUGCUCUCAAGAGUAAAGAUAACUCUAGAUUUAAAAAGGGGAAUGGUAAAGUACCAUUCAUCAAAGGAGAUGUCAAGACUAUUCCAAAGGCACACCUAUUCUACACGUAUUGUCAGAAAAAUCAUCAUACUAGGGAAACAUGUUGAAAAAUCCAUGGCAAACCACCAAGUUAUGGUAAGUUGUAUUUGGCUAAUGCUCAAAAUGAAGAUGGUGUUAUCCCAAUGAUUCAAGGAGGAAUUAGUCAAGAUGGAUUGAUUUCCUCUCAGCAUUUAGAGAUUGGAAAACUUAGAGAAGAAAUUGAACAACUGAGGAGCAUGAUCAGCUCCACUUCCCUCGCACAUGCUAGUAAGCAUUUUCCUAAACAUUUUCCAUUAUGCUUAAAUACAUCAUUAUUAGCAUCACCUUCACUCUUGAAAGUAUCUUGGAUUAUUGAUUAUGGAGCUACUGAUCAUAUGACACCAUACACAUCACUAUUUAUAACAUAUAAGGUAUGUACCAAUAAUCUAAAGGUUAUUAUUGCAAGUGGAGAUUUAUUACCUGUAGUUGGCAUUGGAUCAAUUCAUCUUGAGAAAUUGGGGUUAUUAAGAUAUGUUCUUUAUGUACAAAGAUUGAAUACACAUCUAUUGUCAUUGAGAAAAUUAGGCAAAGACUUGAAUUGUCUAAUAUUAUUUGAUGAUGAUUUAUAUUUCUUCUAUGACAAGACCCCGAGCAAGAGGAUUGGGCAUGUUAAAGCACAGGAUGGACUCUACUACAUAGGGCAUAUGGACAAGACAUUGUUGACAAAUUCUAGUCCAAAGAUUUCAACUUUUGUGUCUGCUUCUCCCUUGAACAAAUUAUUGUUGUUGUAUUGUUGUUUAGGACAUCCGUCUAUAAAAGUACUUCGAUACUUGUUUCCAAGAUUAUGUUGUGCAAUUGGUGAAUCUACUUUCAUAUGUGAA